UCUCCGCCACUUAAAAAAAGUUUGCCGCGGUCAGCGGCUUUUUGUUUUUCUGUAGGACCGCAGGCGGCGGGUCCUGCGCAAUAGGAGUCUGUGAACCGUGUCAGGUCCGGAAGGAAGCAGCACUAAGCGGAUACUCUUAUGUGCCGCAGGGGUGCCUGCGUCUGUGGCCCUACAGGGAAACAACUGAGA
RNAcentral lists this signal recognition particle RNA (189 nucleotides) under Phascolarctobacterium faecium DSM 14760. Its description in RNAcentral is "Bacterial large signal recognition particle RNA". The stretch from base 65 to 164 matches the Rfam family "Bacterial small signal recognition particle RNA". From Rfam's summary of the family: The signal recognition particle (SRP) is a universally conserved ribonucleoprotein involved in the co-translational targeting of proteins to membranes. Archaeal SRP consists of a 7S RNA and homologues of the eukaryotic SRP19 and SRP54 proteins. The record is from RNAcentral. Lineage: Bacteria; Bacillati; Bacillota; Negativicutes; Acidaminococcales; Acidaminococcaceae.